RNAcentral lists this ribosomal RNA (406 nucleotides) under uncultured bacterium. Its description in RNAcentral is "partial 16S ribosomal RNA". It matches the Rfam family "Bacterial small subunit ribosomal RNA", at positions 30 to 526 of the family's 1533-position model. The record is from RNAcentral.
AUUGAACGCUGGCGGCAGGCCUAACACAUGCAAGUCGAACGAGUGGCGGACGGGUGAGUAAUGUCUGGGAAACUGCCUGAUGGAGGGGGAUAACUACUGGAAAAGGUAGCUAAUACCGCAUACCCUAAGAUGUGCCCAGCUGGUAUUAGCUAGUUGGUGGGGUAACGGCUCCCCAAGGCGAAGAUCCCUAGCUGGUCUGAGAGGAUGACCAGCCACACUGGAACUGAGACACGGCCCAGACUCCUACGGGAGGCAGCAGUGGGGAAUAUGUCACAAUGGGCGCAAGCCGGAUGCAGCCAUGCCGCGUGUAUGAAGAAGGCCUUCGGGUUGUAAAGUACUUUCAGCGGGGAGGCGUUACCCGCAGAAGAAGCACCGGCUAACUCCGUGCCAGCAGCCGCGGUAAUUC